GGUAUGGUGAUUGCCCUUUGAGGGAGAGUCUUGGCCCAACUGAAGCAGACCUGGGUUUUCCCUCUAUUACAGUAGUCACACUGGCUUCUGAGAGAAGUGCUAACAAACAAUGAAACUCUUAUAACAGGACAUCCAUGGCAAGGACAUGGCGAACUCAAACUCUGAAGCACCAAGCCGGAUUCUCAUGGUCCGCGGGAUCAAGAUUAACAUCUGGACCCAAGGCAUUUUCAUUCAUCAUUCUUCCAAGGCAAUUGUGGUGCAGGCUGGAAUUUCUGUGACCUUAGUAAUGUGCAGACCCUUUUUUGCCAAAGACCUUUGAAGACGGCACCGGGUCUGGU
RNAcentral lists this long non-coding RNA (338 nucleotides) under Canis lupus familiaris (dog). RNAcentral's name for it is "lncRNA (ENSCAFG00000059063.1)". The record is from RNAcentral. Lineage: Eukaryota; Metazoa; Chordata; Mammalia; Carnivora; Canidae.